This is a long non-coding RNA of Lotus japonicus, 1153 nucleotides long. RefSeq lists it as uncharacterized. The record is from RefSeq and is a predicted model, not a curated record. The transcript is spliced from 3 exons. NCBI's taxonomy places the organism in Eukaryota, Viridiplantae, Streptophyta, Magnoliopsida, Fabales, Fabaceae.
UGAAAAUUUAAAUUUGCACCCAUACCCUUUCUCCUUUCUCUCUCUCACACACUCACAUCAGAUCAGACUCUCAUUCUCUCACGACUCACUCACUCUCAAGUCUCACCUAGGUCUGGCCGUCAUCAUCAAGCACGGCCGCACGGCGUCGGCGCACCACCACCACGCCACCACCGUCCACCAGACCAGUCCAGCCGCGCCUCACCCUAGAGGGUAUCACCUGUAACCCACUUGGUGGUCAUUGUGAGCUUUGUUAUCUUCUUCCAGACACCUGUCUCUCCUGUGAAUGCCAUGGGGACUGCUUUAGCUCCUGCCGGUGUUUUCCUCUAUUCAAGGGUGAAGCAAAUUAAACCAAAAACAGCUUAAUUUCACCUGUUUUAAAGCUUUCCCAAGCUGUUGAAUCAACUUCUCACCUCUUCUUCAAUUGUGCUGUCUCAUGGACAAUAUGGGAAAAGUGUCUCACUGGCUUGGUAUCCAACCUGUAUCACAUGAGGAAGGUACAUCCCACUUCAACCAGUUCCUGAGACAGUAUGAAGGAAGGGACAGAAAAAAUGUUGCAGGUCUGAUAUGGUUGGCUACGAUUUGGGUCAUUUUGAAUGGUAGAAAUAAUGUGAUCUUCAUAGAGAAAGAACCUGAUUUUUCGAAUGCCUUAGAAGUGAUUCAAUACAUGUCCUGGGGUUGGCUCAAAGCUAAAGUAAAAGGGUUUACCUAUUCGCUUUUUGAAUGGACUUCUAGUCCCCUGGUUUGUCUCGAAUCAAUCUGAGCUGGCAGUGUGAAUUUGGACCAAUUUUCUGCUUCUGCAACCCUCUUCUUGUCUUGUCUUUGGUGCUUAAUCUGGGCAGGUUUUGUGUUUGGCUCCAAUUUGAGAGGAUUGGUGGAUAGAGUCUCUUGUUUCUACAGGGAUGUCUUGACAGCAAAGUAGUACUAAAAUUAUGUAGUAACAAUCCAUCCUCUGCUGCUAGCUGGUAGUCUUUGUUUUGCUUUUGGCUGGUCCCUCUUUGUUUAUCUAGGAACUAGUCUAGGUGUUGUAUGUUUUGAUGCAGUAGCAUGUUUUUUUGGCCUUUUCUUUUUACUGUUUGAUUGUACUAUGGGUUAGAGUACCCCUUGGACUCUAUUCAAUUUAAUUCAUUGGCUUAUAAAAAAAAGGAUUUGUGCA